UACAGAGGUCCCAAGCGUUGUUCGGAUUCACUGGGCGUAAAGGGCGCGUAGGCGGGAAGGUAAGUCAGUGGUGAAAUCUCACGGCUCAACCGUGAAACUGCCGUUGAUACUGCUUUUCUUGAGUUUGGGAGAGGUCGAUGGAAUUCCAGGUGUAGCGGUGAAAUGCGUAGAUAUCAGGAGGAACACCGAUUGCGAAGGCAGCUCGCUGGGACGUUACUGACGCUGAGACGCGAAAGCGUGGGGAGCAAACAGG
Molecule: ribosomal RNA, 253 nt
Filed under: uncultured bacterium
Lineage: Bacteria
Description: partial 16S ribosomal RNA
Rfam family: Bacterial small subunit ribosomal RNA
Source: RNAcentral